RNAcentral lists this ribosomal RNA (491 nucleotides) under uncultured bacterium. RNAcentral describes it as "bacterial SSU rRNA". It matches the Rfam family "Bacterial small subunit ribosomal RNA", at positions 903 to 1397 of the family's 1533-position model. The record is from RNAcentral.
AAAUGAAUAGACGGGGGCCCGCACAAGCAGUGGAGUAUGUGGUUUAAUUCGAAGAUACGCGAAAAACCUUACCAGGUCUUGACAUCCGACUAACGAAGUAGAGAUACAUUAGGUGCCCUUCGGGGAAAGUCGAGACAGGUGGUGCAUGGUUGUCGUCAGCUCGUGUCGUGAGAUGUUGGGUUAAGUCCCGCAACGAGCGCAACCCUUACGGUUAGUUGCUACGAAAGAGCACUCUAACAGGACUGCCGUUGACAAAACGGAGGAAGGUGGGGAUGACGUCAAAUCAUCAUGCCCUUUAUGACCUGGGCUACACACGUACUACAAUGGUUGUUAACAGAGGGAUGCAAUAGAGUAAUCUGGAGCUAACCCCUAAAAACAGUCUCAGUUCAGAUUGCAGGCUGAAACUCGCCUGUAUGAAGAUGGAAUUGCUAGUAAUCGCGAAUCAGCAUGUCGCGGUGAAUACGUUCCCGGGCCUUGUACACACCGCCCGU